ACCCAGGCCCAAAAACCGACCCGACCGGCCUAGCCCAUGACCCACCUCCCAUUAAAACCUACAAACCUAGAUAUAUCAGAGAGGAUAUCAUCAGGCUCUCUAGGACCUAGAAACCUAGCAGCGACGCUCCUCUCCUCUCUGCAACAAAGAGCGAUACCUCCCCCCUCUAAAAGAAUACAGAGAAAUGACACACUGCUCUCCCUCCUUUCUUCUUCUUGUUCUUCGUUUCUCAAAAAUCAGAUACCAAAGAAGAUCCCAUUCUUUCUCAUACAAACAUUCUACAAUUGAAAAGAGAUCCAAAGAAUCCAAAAAGGGCUUCAAACAAAAAUCAAAAAAAGAAAGAAACAAAAAGGAAGUUGGAAUAUGAGGUUUUGGCUUCAAUUUUCUCUGAAAUGUGGUGCUUAUUUCUCUAGGUUGCUGAAGAAACUAUGUUGUCAUUGGUAAUUGUUGAAUUCGAACCUGAGCUCCAACUUGUAGAGCUCGUUUGGUUUGGUUGCUGUUUCUAAUUCGAACAAGAGCUAAAAUCUAUCUCCUCCCCUUUUGAUUUUUGUUUGAUCCAAAUUCCGUUAUUCUUCUACAGUAGGUAUGUUCAUGUCCCAAAUUCUGUUCGAAUCAAUGAUAUGAUGAUUUGAUCUUCUCUGUGUUAUAUUUGUACUGGAUUACUCGAUAUUAUCAUGUUGGCGGUUAAAAGGACUUGAGUUCUUAGUUUGUUCUGCAAUUUUGUUCAUGUGAAUUUAAGUUGUUAACUUUGAAGAAAAGCUAAAAUAGGCAGUGAAUUAGUCUCGUGGUAUUUUGUGGUGAAAACUAGCAGCAUAUUUUCAUUAGAUACAUAAGCUCUAUUUACUACGAAUUGAUUAAUGUUGUAGCUUUAGAUCCUGAAUGCUGUUGUAGCACGAUAUGAAUUCAUAGGUGAGGUAAAUUAAUGAUUGUUCAGUUAUGUGAUUAAAUGGGUUAUGGUUUACUAGUUUCAUCAUCCGAUUCCUUACUUGGUUUUUGCUAUUCCAUACAAUUCAUUUCAUUUUCGGCAGAAGAUUUUUUUUUAGUUUAAAGCCAAUGAUCUGUUUUUAAAUUGAAGCAAAUUUUGUAGUUUUAAUUCAUGAAUUCUUAGAUAAUCUAAAAAAAAAGAGUGUUAGUCUUUAGCCAAGACAUAACACAAUCAAUCUUAUAAACAAAUUUAUGAUCCAAUCUAUACUCCCUCACACUCCUCCCCAUAGAUCGAUAUUUUCACACAUAACCUCAAGCUUAGGAAAAUUAUGAACAUCCAUAGUUUGCUUUAAUUUGGUAUAAUCCUUUGAAAUUAGAAUUGAGGUGUGCCAUUUAGUUGAAUUUUCUAUGGCCCUCGCAAAUUUGAAAGUGCGUAGUUGCUUUAGGCGCGUAACUUAAAUUACUUUCCUAAACUCGGCUGUGCAUUUCAUGUGACUCAAAUCCAAAUCUCAACAACGUUAAAUAAAAUGUGUCGUGGACCGCGGGUGCAUUUCAUGUGGCAUGGUUUAAGGACGUGUUUUCGAUAAUGUUGAAUUUUCCUAAAAAAUUAUUUAAAAGCGGCUAAUAAGUUAAAAAUGUACCAUAGGCUAAAACAUGUAUUAAAAUUAGAUAAUAGGCCAAUUGUAAUAGUUUAAGCGACCGUGCUAGAACCACGAAAUCCGGGGGUGCCUAACACCUUCCCUCGGGUUAAUAGAAUUCCUUAUUCAGAAUUUCUGGUUCGCAGACUUCAAAAGGAAAGUCAAAUCUUCCUCGAUUUGGGAUUUAAAAUAAACUGGUGACUUGGAACACCAAAUAAACUAUCCCAAGUGGCGACUCUGAAUUGAAUAAUUAAUCCUAUUUUGAUUAAUGUCACUUAAAGUGGAAAAACUCCCUUAUAUCCACCUUCGGGUGGUUAAAAAAGAGGUGUGACAAGUAAUAGCAUUUACCUUGCUUUCCUAGGAACUAGACAGGAUACUGAGGAUUUUCUUCACUAGUUUGUUCCUCCGAAUGGUUUCACCAAGUAAGUGUAACUCAUUUAUGAUGGAAGUGAAUCUUGUGUGCAUAUCUUGAAUGGAUUCAUCGUCCCUCAUCCCAAAGAGUUCAUACUCGGUAGUAAGCAUAUCGAUCUUAGAUUAUUUUUCUUGGGUGGUUCCCUUAUGAGCUAUUUGUAAAGCUUCCUAUAUCUCCUUAGAGUGUCACAAUAGAGAUUUUAUUGUAUUCAUCAGGUGCUAUUCCACAUAACAAAAUCUUCUUGGCACAAAAAUUCUUCUCCACAGCUUUCCUAUCAGCGUCGGUAUAUUCUUUUCUGGUUUUUGGUAUUGAGAAGGAAGUUCAUCAAGUACAUUUUUUGGGACGUAAGGGCCAUCACAUAUGACAUCCCAUAGUUCAGAAUCCUCAACCAUGAUAAAAUUAUGUAUUCUUGUCUUCCACCACCCAUAGUAUUGUCCAUUGAACCUGGGUGGUCUGCAUGUAGAUUGACCUUCUUCAAAAUUUGGUGGAGCAGCCAUACGAAUCCUUCCUAGGUAUUAGCCUGAUAGGAGGAACCUUCUCUGAUAAACUAAUGACAUAGUAAGUAAAUGAGACAUAAGAUUUUUACGUGGAAAUAUCCCACUCAAGGGAACAAAAACCACAACCUACACUUGUAGACUUUCAACUUCACUAACUUAUAAACACUCAAUUACAAGCCACUUUUUAAUGACUCUAUUACAAAGACUUCACUCACUCCAACUUGUGAUACACUAAUCACAAGCCACUUUGUCACUCACUAGUUACAAAGUCUUCAAACACUCUAACUUGUAAUACACUAAUCCCAAGCCACUUUGUCAUUCACUAGUUACAAAGGAUUUAACUUAAGACUAACUCUAGUCACAACACAAACUCAAAAAUUUUAUAGUUUUAAAGAGGGGUUCCUAAGUACCGCUUCUAACUAAGCAACUUUGGAAUUACAGUAAGAACAAUCACAAAGUUACAACUCAACUAUGGACAACAGAAUACUCGAUUUAGGAAUUAGUCCGUAGUAGCAUUUUACUUUGCUUUUCAAGAUCUUGAGAAUUGAGUUUUCUACUUUCAGAAGUCUUGAAGUGAAAAUUCAAGUGUUCAAGUGAUGUCUUGAUAUAAUCUUCUUGUUAAUACACUUUUAUGACAUCACUUGAAUGAUGUAUGCACUUUAGUUGGUCAAGGACAAAUCACCAUUGGAAAUAAUGCAGUGUAGGCAGUAACAGGACAUGCAGUCACGUCGCUUCCAACUGUAUCCAACUGACCUCGAACUGCUAUGAUUCAACCGCAAGGAUAUCAGGUCCUAGUCUGGUUCUCUAUCUCCUGAAACUAUAACAUUUCACAUUUAGCUGGACUCCGAUGAUUUGUACUGUAGCCUAAGUGUGUCAGGUUUCCUAUCUCGUUCUUGACAGCAAGUUUGUUAGAUUAUCAAAGUAUAAGGUAAAGACAUUGAAAACCCAUCAAUCUUGAUGGACCUGUUCCAUCUCAUCCACAUCAACAGCCUCAACAGGCUCUGCAACCUUAGAUUUACCUUUGUCCAUUCUCUUUUUAUUGCUUUCUGCCAUAGCUUUUUGUAACUCCUCCUCAUUCUGCUUUAACUCACUCCUUGUAGACCUUUCUUUUGGUAGAGGAAUCUCAGCAGUUGUUGGAGAAGUAGCCUUCCUUUUCUUGGUAGUUUUUGUAGUUCUGGGGGCUUUUGGUGUUGGGGUUCUCCUUUUCUUUGAAUUAUAUCUUGCACCCUCUUUCUUUAAAAGGUCUGCCAGGGUCUCCUCAAUAGAUGAACCAGGUUUAUCUGCCUAUGAACUAAGUUUGACCAACCCUUCAGUAGCCUCCCCUAAACCACUUCCCCCUGUUUUCUUGCUACUUUCUUCCAUAUUUUCAUGUUCAACCCCACAUAUAGCCAGUCUAACCGUUUUAGAAGUUGGUGAGGAAUCAACCACUUUUUUUCCCUUUUCCCCUCACAUCAUUACUCACAUAUUCACUCUCCUUUUCUUUUUCACUUUUAUUUUUACCUCCUAUCCUUCUUGACUCAGGCAUUUCCACACGUUCCUAACAGACCCAACCAGAACAAACCUAUUGUCCAAAUUUUCAACUAGAACAGAACAUACCUCAGAAGGGGGAUUUUGAGCAUUUUCAGAAUCAGAAGACCGAGUUCCUUCCCCCUCACUCACAGAUUUGAAGGAGUCAACUGAGUUUUUAGAAUCUUGGGCUUGGCUAGCCUUUAAUUUUGCAUUCAAUUUCUUUGAAAGCGCAGCUGUAGCUACAGUUUUGCGAGCAAGGAUCUUCACUCGCCUUCUCCUAGGUUGGGGGGUUGUGCUGGGUUGAGGAGGGGUGAAGGAAUCAGAGGGGGUAGGUUGUGGAGGAGUGCCUGGGUUAUCUUUAGGGUUGGUCAUUUUUGCUAAUUCAAUGAGAAAGGGGAUGGGUGUGGAGAAAUUUUGGAAGCAAAGAGAAGAGAAGAGAGAAAAUGUUCGACGGUCUUGGAAAUUUUAGAGGAGUGGCAGUGGUGAUGAUGAUGAAUUUAAAGGAUAAGGUGUAUUUAAUACACAACGACAGCUUUUAGUAGUCAAAUAGGAGUCUAAUCACCCUAAAAUUUCAGUUUGAAUAGACGUUUAGGCUUCCCUAGAAUCUAAGCGUUCUAAUACGGUGAGGAUUCUAGUAGGGGACGGAACUGGUUCAAAUGCAAAAGGAUAGUUUUUUUUGACAUUUUUGAACAUAGGUAGGACUCUGAUCAUGAAUUAAAUAUUAAUAUUUCUAAUUGUGCAGAGUGUAGAAAACAUACCUCGUUAUUCAAAUGAACCACUACUAAUGAACCAUGUUCUUCACUAAGAAUCCUCUUGAUCUUGCCUCAAUUUACCAAAAUAAUGAAAAUUUUGUUAGAGAUCAGUGAGUCAUAUCAACACAUAUCACAUGAGUAUACUAUUUACAGUAUGAGACUGAGCAAUGAUUAAUCUAGAUAUUUACACAAGUUCCGGAUUUUCUAACCAAAAAUAAUUUUUUAAAUUUUUUUGUGCAUUCUGAACUGGUCCCAUUAGGUGAUCUUAAUCAUCCCUAAUUCUAACUUGUUCCUUUCAAAGUGCUCCCUACUCAAUGCUUUUCUGAAAAUGUCAGCAAUCUGUUUAUCAGUAGCACAAAAUUCUGUAGUAAUCGAUCAUUUCUCAUAGUUGUCCCUAAAAAAUGGUGUCUAACAUCUAUGUGCUUAGUUCUCUUAUGAUGAACCGAGUUCUUAGUCAUACUAAUAGCACUAGUGUCAUCACAGAAAAUAGGGAUGAAACCAAUUUCAAUACCAAAAUCCAUCAACUGCUGUUUGAUCCACAGCAAUUGAGCCGAACACGAAGCACCAACAACAUACAACAUACUCAGCUUCAGUAGUGGAUAAGGCCACUGAAUUUUGCUUUUUAGUAGCCCAUGAUACAAGACAUGAACCAAGGAAGUGUGCCAUACCUGAGGUGCUCUUCCUAUCCACAAGGAAACCUACAUAGUCAGCAUCAGCAUAUCCCACUAGGUUAAAGUUACUACCUUUUGGAUACCAAAGACAAAGGUCAAUAGUGCCUUUCAAGUAUCUCAAUAUUGUCUUGACAACAGUCAAGUGGGAUUUCUUUAGAUUUGCUUGAAAUCGAGCACAAAGCCCUACACUAAAAAUAAUGUCAGGUCUGCUAGCAGUAAGAUACAAAAGUGAACCAAUCAUACCCUAUACAACUUCUGAUCAAUAGAUGAACCAGGUUCAUCUAUGUCCAAUUUUGUGGCUAUUGCAAUAGGAGUGUCUAUUUCCUUUGAUUCCUCCAUUUUAAACUUCUUAAUCAACUCUUUUGCAUAUUUCUGCUGAUGAAUCAUGGUUCCAUUUGAGUUUUGUUUAAUUUGUAAGCCUAAGAAGAAAUUAAGCUCACCCAUCAUACUCAUUUCAAAUUCACUCCCCAUAAGUUUAGCAAAUUCCUUACUGUUAUAAAAUAUAACCCAAAAUAACAAUAUAGAACAAGCAANNNNNNNNNNNNNNNNNNNNNNNNNNNNNNNNNNNNNNNNNNNNNNNNNNNNNNNNNNNNNNNNNNNNNNNNNNNNNNNNNNNNNNNNNNNNNNNNNNNNNNNNNNNNNNNNNNNNNNNNNNNNNNNNNNNNNNNNNNNNNNNNNNNNNNNNNNNNNNNNNNNNNNNNNNNNNNNNNNNNNNNNNNNNNNNNNNNNNNNNNNNNNNNNNNNNNNNNNNNNNNNNNNNNNNNNNNNNNNNNNNNNNNNNNNNNNNNNNNNNNNNNNNNNNNNNNNNNNNNNNNNNNNNNNNNNNNNNNNNNNNNNNNNNNNNNNNNNNNNNNNNNNNNNNNNNNNNNNNNNNNNNNNNNNNNNNNNNNNNNNNNNNNNNNNNNNNNNNNNNNNNNNNNNNNNNNNNNNNNNNNNNNNNNNNNNNNNNNNNNNNNNNNNNNNNNNNNNNNNNNNNNNNNNNNNNNNNNNNNNNNNNNNNNNNNNNNNNNNNNNNNNNNNNNNNNNNNNNNNNNNNNNNNNNNNNNAUUUGUACUAUAAGAAUAUCCUUACCUUUUCCCCUCAAUAAUAGAGUGCUAUCAAUUUUACCUCUCUUGUAGCCAUGUUCAAGCAGGAAUUUGGAUAGUCGUUCAUACCAUGCUCUAGGAGCCUGCUUGAGUCCAUAAAGAGCCUUGUCUAGUUUGUAUACAUGAUCCGGACACUCCUUGCUUUCAAACCCCAUAGGUUAUUUGACAAACACUUCUUCCUUUAAGUAGCCAUUUCGGAAAGCACUCUUAACAUCCAUCUGGUGAAGAGUAAAUUCCAUGUGUGCUGCAAAGGCUAUGAGGAGUCUUAUUGCUUCCAAUCUUGCGACUAGAGCAAAGGUCUUAUCAUAGUUCAUGCCUUCCUCCUGGCUAUAACCUUGAACCACCAACCUUGCCUUGUUCCUUGUAACAGUUCAAUCUUCAUAAAGUUUGUUUCUAAAGACCCAUUUAGUGCCAAUUACUGAUCUGUCCUUGCGUCUUAGAACCAGAUGCCAAACUUGACUUCUUUCAAACUGAUUGAGUUCAUCUUGCAUUGCAUUUACCCAGUAUGCAUCAUGCAAAGCCUCAACAACAUUUUUAAUUCCAAUAAGAGAUAAGAAAGCAUUAAAAGUACACAAAUUCUUUAAUUGAGAUCUAGUUUUAAUUCCAAAGGUUGGAUCAGUAAUUAUGUUCUCAAUUGAAUGAGAACUUUGAUACUUGUAAGGUUUCUGUACGCGGUAAAAUCAGAAGACUUGAUUUUUGCUAUUAAGACAUUUUAGAAGCCUUCCCCGAGACCCCGAGGAAGGAAGGCCACGAUCGAGUUCCCGGCCUCAGGGCUCGUCGAGGUCCGAAUCAAAGAAAGUAGGGCCCGAGGUCAGGAUAAGAAAGGGAAUCUCCUAAGCACAUGGCUACACCUGACAGGUCUGGCCCAUCUAAGAGCCUACUGAUAGGACUUGUAUCGGGCCGUCCCAUCUUUGUACCCUUGCAAUUAAUAUAUAUUUACUUUACUAAGUCCCCUCGCCUAUAUAAGGGGGACUCACCCUACCUUGUAAAGGACUGACGUUGCUCCACUUCUCCACAAUGCAAUAAUAUCUCUCUCUCUCUCUUUAUUCUAAAUUAUCAGUCUUCAUCGACCCCGAGGUCGCCUUAGCAUUUUGUUGUUUCUUCAUUUGUUCUUCUUCAUUUAGAUCAAGAUUGAUAGUAUAAAGCCUUACUUACUUAUAUCUUUAUCUAUUAUCCCCUUCUCGACUACCCUCGAUAGGCUCGAGAUAGGCUCGAGGCCUGGCUCUGAGGUGCCUACUGGCUUGCUUUAUGCCCGGGAACGUCCCUUUACUGGUUCGAUUAUUGCUUCGGCUAACUCGAUCUUUACUGUCUUGUUUCACGUUUUAGCACCAAUCACCCUAACAAACUAGUUCGGGAAUAGAUCACGUAUUUUUAGAAUCCCAUUUAUAAAUUUAGUUGUUGUUACCAUUUUCACGGUAAACAGUUUCACAACCAACUGGUUUCUGUUUGAUAAUUCUCCCAUGUUCUGUUGCUGAGGAACAGGCUCAUGGACAACGGGGUUACAAAGUCUCGCGCCUAGAUCAGUUCGAGCGGACGCGGACCCGUACGUCGCACAACGGGGUUACAAAGUCUCGUGCAUCGAUAGUGGCAGACAACAUGCUAACCAACAGGAAGCCCAAAAAAUCCCAGUUCCGGUAUAACGGGAAGUUAAUCUUCGUAUUAUUUUUGAAAUGUUGUAGGAAUAGCAUUUGGAUAUCUCUCGGCUACAAAGCCGCUCGGAGACUCUCGGCACGACAGGACCCAAAAUAUCUCCUCACUUCGAGCCAGUACCCGAGGUAUCGGGCAGCGACGAACCAACAACCAAUCCUAUGGUAGUAAGGAUGCUAGAAGACAUUAUCGUAAAGAUCGACUCACGCUCGUAGAGACUCCUAUAACAACCGUCUCCCGGAGAUACGAUCCCGGGACUCAUUUCACGGAAUUUGGAAACAACGAAAUCCCCCAGGACUGACAGGACACCAAGUCCUCACAGGUGCACCACCACUCAAGCACGCCCAUCCAGGAACGGUGACAUCCAAAAUGGAGAACUUGGGUCCGUCCCGAUAAGGAGAUUUGAAGAAAUUCCCGUGGAAGAAACCAUGACGCAGCAUCAUUGUUCGACAUUUAGUAUUGGGGACCCGCUCACCGUACUAGCGUGAUCCGUGGAAGCACGCGCCAAUGCCAUCAAAAUUAUGCCAAGAGGGCACAAUGCACUGAAGGCAGGGAGAAGAAAAAGAAAUAAAAUCUCACAGGAAACUGCACCCCGCUCUCUGACAAGACAAACAAGAUCGCUCCCAGUACCGAAUAGUGGGGUGGCACAGACCUUCGCCGAAAACCCAAACAAAGCAUACCUGGCGGCUCCGGAGCAAUUCAAGCGAAGCUUGGUCGAAUAUCUGCUUGAGGCUUGGUCAGAUACCAGCAGCCAACACCAGACCCAGGUCGGAGCAAUGGAUGACCCUUGAAAAACCUCCUCGGGAUUGGCAUAUCCGGGAAGAUUCCCAACAAAAAAGGCUGACACUGAAUGAAUGGAGCCAUCACCCACAUGACACGAAUGGAAGAAACGAUUCGAGGCACAACGCAUCUCAAAACAACGAGGCAGUAGGCCGAGGACAACUCCUUCGAGGAAUCUCCAGUGGUACUAGAUUCAACAAGACGCAACCAGCAGGGAAACCUCGCCCAAUAGAGCUUAACUUCAACGCUGCAGUUCCAAGCAUAGUGGUCACCAUAUGCGAAGCCGAGAACUAAAGGUGGCUCGGACCGAUUCAACCAAAACCCCUUUAGGGAAACCAUGGCCCGCCACGGGAAUUGCGAGAUGCUCGGAGUUACAGACCCAAAAGAGCAGCAACUACACUAUUCAACAAAGGUAACCACAAAGUAUAGCCAAGCGAGCAAACCAGGAUCCAGCUCCACGGACAAGAGGAAAUCAGAUAAAACAGAGCCGGCAAGCUGCGGCAUAUCGUCACACCUAUUAAAGGAUGGCGACAUCCUGCGAAAAUCCGUAGAACGUGGAAUGCAAGUGACCGUCACCAGAAAGGGAUGGUCCCGGGAAAUACUCCCCAAGGACACCCUCUUGCUCGAAUAAAAGGACGCUGAGAUUCCACCUCAGUACCACAUUAACGUAUUGGUAAUGCCUUCUUUCAUUUGACUCAUUUCAAAUAAAACAUACUUUAAUGAGUACAGGUGUAUCGACCAAAAUUAUACCGACAAUGUCGGGCCAAAGCCAAUAGGACGAUCCGGCCCAGCGUCGCUCUCGAGCUGGACCGCUGAUGUGUUCCCAAUGGCAAUUGCCACAACGACCAAAUCGCUCCCCUUGCACGGCCAGCCCGAGCUCAGGCUAAUACGUCGAGUGACAGAGGGCACAGAUACUUUGUACAGACAACGGCGAGUACAUCGCCCUGGACGCAAUUCCGACCCUACUCCUCCAAAGGUGUAAAACCCCAUGAUAGGCGCUGGGCUAAAUCAUUUAGCUGCGAGCGAUAGGAGGAGAUCCCUCGCCCGGCAUUGCCCUCAAAUGAGGCCAAAGGGUAAGGAUAACCAUGUCCUCCGCCAGGCCUGGCCAGACGAGGAGGAUGACUACUGCGAGACUUACUCCCCGAAACACAACUUCCCUUUAUCAUUUCCUUUCCUUUCUUGUUGCUAAUCUGUACGCAGGCAGCAAGCUGAGGCAUUCAGUAGUUCUGGAUCCCGCUCGAGGAUCCAUGGCCACCAUAGGGCCUGUCGGGCGUUCUUUCCUCGACCGGGUUUCUAACAGGAAAAAGGUUCAGCCGACAAGAUUAUUAGCAGUACUAUAUAUCCCCGGGGAAGGGACCCGUAAAGUUCAUGAUCCUCUUGCUCUCCUAAAAUUUUCCAAUAUGAAAUCAUAUAAGCGCAUAAGAUAAUUAGGGGAAUCACACCCAUGUGGACCAGACUCACGGUAACAGGACAACAUGUAUUUGCAACUUAUAUUUUCGCCAAGCAAUAAAGAAUAUAUUUAUGCAUUCGACGCGUCGAAGAAAAAUAUUUUGGCUUAUCCUCAGCAAAAAACCUCUCCAUCAAAUGCAUUCCGAAAUAGACGUAAACAAUUCAACAGCCCCACGACCCUAGGGUCAGGGCUCCGGGCUCACAAAGCCCUCGCGAUAUGGCUCCAAGUCUACAAAAGGCGGUAUUCAAGCCUAAGCUAAUCCGAUAUACUCGGAGACUCAACAUGAGCAAUUCGACAACUUGCACAACCCCAGGGUCGGAACUCCGAGCUCGCCAAGCCCUGGGAAAACAACUCCGAGUUCACGAGAAGCUGUCUUCAAGUAAACUCAAUGACUUGGAGGUUGUCGCCAAUCGCCAUGCACUGGAAAACCCGAAAUUGUCAGACCCUAGUGGGCAGACUCGGCAAAAGCAAAUCUAUUCUCCAUAUAUUGUAAGACCUCAACAGGCAUUGAAAAAUGUAAGACCUCAACAAGCAUGAAAAAAUCCCGUAGUUUAGGCUAUACGUCACAUUUGUAAGAAUCCCUAAAGGGCAUACCCUCAGCGUAGACACCUAAAACUACCUCUAGGGAUCAAAAAUGGCCCCGGCCAAACGCACACGACUCCGGUCAAAAUGACUGAUAUAGCCUAAAAAUGCAACUCAGGGACGCCCGACUAUUGCUAAAAAAUCCUCGAAUCUACUUCAGAAAGAACCAGUUAAACACAGGCUUCCCUCAAUAGGCAAAAAACGAGUCCCGACCACGUCGGCUCCAAAAUUGCAAAAGCAUCGAUCUACUCGACCUAUGAGCUAUGAACCUUCCGAGGUGCUCAAAACAUCGCCGACUACGACUUGAAAUCGAGGUUCUUUUAGAAACAACGAUGGGUCAGGCAAAAUAAUCAAUAAGACCUUAACGAGAGGAAACAAAGCCUACAAAAAGCCUCUGGGCCUCACAUCAAAUAGCAUAAGUGCCAUUAUCGUCCACUAAGCAAAGCCUCUGGGCCUCACAUCAAAAGGUAUCUACGACUGUACAACGUAAGAGCUAUUGACGCCAGCUUGAAAAUUGACAACUUGAGGAUUAAAGUGAGCUCGAGUCGUAACCCGAUUCGGAGACCGGAUCCAAGAUAGUUAACCUAAGCAAAGCCUCCGGACCUCAUAUCAAAGGUCUCUAUGACCAAACAACGUAAGUGCCAUUGUUACCGGCUAAGCAUGCCUCCGGGCCUCAUACUAAAAGGUCCCAAUGACCAAGCAGCAGAAAGGGUCAAGAACUUAGAUGAGAUUUAAGGGUCGAUUACAGCUCGAGUUGCAACACGACUUGGAGACUGGACCCAAAAAUCAUAAUACUCCGUAGAGCAUGACAUUAAUGCCGAUUUCUCCAACCGGAAUCUCCGGGAAGAUCAAAGGUUCAAUUACAACUCAAAUCGCAACGCAACUCGGAGACUGGACCCGAAAAAUCGCCAAACGCCCGAGGGCAAAGAAUAAAAAUCAUUAUCGCCACCCCAAACAAGGCUCGAGGGUAAGAUAAGCUUGAGUCAGGAUCCUGACUCGGAGACUGAACCCGAGGGCAAUUCAAUCACAAUGCGCCUAAAAACACGGCCCAACGACGUUAUCAACGGCCGAGACAAGUCUCCAGGCCGUACGCCCGCAAAAUUACCUCAGUCCAGGAGCACAAAAGGUCAUCACCCUCCGCCUAUGCAGGCGGGAAAAGGAUGGAAGGCCAAUCGAAGCUCGAGCCGUAACGCGACUCGGGGACUAGUUCCAAAAGCCGGUCUACACGGUCGAAAGCAACGAUAGAAAAAAGGUACAAAGGGGAUAAUACUUUAAAAUUUCCUCUUAUGUUACAUGCAAGAAAACAUUCUCCAUCUACAGGCACGCCCUGCGUGCGCCGAAAACCAGGUUACAAAAUGAUAGGACCUUUACGAUGCGCCAAAAGGCUACAACCCAUCAAGAUCGCCCUCUGCAACAUCCACGAGAAGUGACCGAAUGUCUCCCUAGUCCGCGCUUGCUUGAACCAAUUACUCUGAGAAAAUAAAGCCUCUCUCUCCAACUUCCUCGAGCAUUUCUCUCCGGGAUCGGCAGCGAACAUAUUCCUCGAUCCUAUUCUCACGAUCAAGGGCUUGCCUCAACUCAAAUUGAGCGUCAGCAGCCUCCUUUAUGCAAAUCGCCAUCUUGCAAUCUGUCCAAGUUCGGCUUAACGCCACUUUUGCCAGAGCAUCAAUUAUUUCGGCCCUGAUCUUCGAGAGGUCGGACUCUAUUCUCUCAAUCAUAUCCACCUGAACAUUGGCAUUACUACGGGACAAGUUAAGCUGGGCCUCGAAGGCAGGGAUCUUGGCUGAGGCACUCAUCUCCUCCAAGACAUGAGCCCGCACUUGGCCUCUUAGUUCCUCGCAAGCUACACUGGCACGGUUCACGUCACCUUUAAAGUACUCCAAGGCCUCUAUCUUUUUCUGCAACUAAUACGGCAAGAAGAAGUUAGUCUUAAAAUUAGAAAGAAGCAAAGAGCACACUACAGAAAGUUACCUGCUCCAUCAGAUAGCUCUCAUAGUUCGAGCUCCGAUACGCCUCAUAUUGCCAAUACAACAGCUCAGAUUCCUUCUCCUUGCAAAGGAGCCUAAGGGAUUCUCCCUCAUCCCGAAUCCUCUGGAACUUGGCCUUUUGAUGAGACAACUCAGACUUAAGCCUAUCACAAGCCUGCGCAGGAAAGAUUCAAUAAGAGGAGGAAGAUGCGGGAUAUGAAAGAAAUAUGCACUAACUCACCGCAACGUGAAGAUGGAAGAUUUCCCUCCAGAUCAGAACAUGCUCCUGAUAGUACUGCUCUUGCAAUCCUGGAAGAACCGGACCAGCGGAUAACAUGCUCACUCGAAGGAGUCACUUGUCGAGAAACAAGCACCCCGGGGGCAGCCGACUCGGGCGAUGCCCCGUCUUCAGAAGCACGCACCCGGCUAGCACCACUAAAAACUCCUUCGCAUGAUGGGUCCCAGACUCUCUUACUGCUACCGUCUCUCAGCUCAGAGACCGAUAACUCCAUCUCCUCUCCGAGAAAGUGCUACCUCGCCUUGGGAAACCGCCCGAUAUUUACAAAAAACGGUGAAUCCAGCAUAAAGGAGAUGGGAAAAUGCCAUCCCGAGUACGUAUCAGUGGGAGAAAAGCAACAUAUGCACGUACCUUGAUGGUACACUCCCCACCUGAUGUGUCGCUAGACGAAUGGGUCACCAGCCGCUGAACCUAGCCGGGCAAAUCAUGAACUUGGACCGACGUCCAUAAAGUUGCUGCAACAAAGGAAGUAACAUUAAUUACUUGGCCGAUUUUCGCCAUAAACAAAAUCUGAAGGAACAACAAAAUGCCUCACUUACGCGCGUGAUUCCACCCUUCGGGGAAAGGCAAAACCUCCACAGGAAUAAUAUCGGUCGUCCUAACUCAGACAAACCAACUAGCUCACUCUCGAUCUCCGCCUUCUUCAUUAUCAACAACAAAGGGCAUGGUGUGAACGACCCCUCAAGGUUAACAAUCCUCGAUGGUGGAAGGGUCGAUAUAGCCUGAUGAGAUGAUCGAGUGUGAAAUGAAGUCCAGCUUUCUCCGUGAAGAAUCUCAGCAUCAACACCAUCCGCCAAAAUGGUGGAUGAACCUGCGCCAGGGUGACCUGAUACUUCAAGCAAAAAUCGAGCACGACCUUAUCAAGAGGACCAAUGGCAAAGGGAUAUAGGUACGCACUCAAAAACCCAUUAGCAGAGUCCGCGAUACCUUCACUUAGGGAAAGCACCCGUAGUGUCAUCCCCUCGCUCCACCCGCAAUAUCACCUUACCGUCUCUAGGUGUUCCUCUUUUACCAAGGACACUGACUCUAGAGCAAAAUCCUUCGACUCUCCAGCACUGGGAACAACAUUCUCCGCUCUUUGCCCCGGUUCCGAAGUAGUCGCCAUGACUAAAGCAGAACUAACAAAAUGAAGUAAAAAAGCACAGACGCUUUUCGCACUUUAAAAGAUAGGGAGCCCUAUGCUGAAAUGGAAGAACAACUGCCCAAAAAUAGUGAAGUCUCACAAAAAGGUCGAAGCCACCCUUAUUAUAUACAAAAGGCAACGGCAAAGUCACCUGCCAGAUGUAAGCUCCAGGAAACCAAUGGCCUCGAUACGAAUUGACGAGUCAAUACAGAACCCAGGAAACAUCCUCCAACAGAUGACUAAGCUCGAGGAUCCACGCGAAUUAUCUCCAUGCUCCAGACAACAUUUCAAAUAUGUAAUCCCCGUCCUCUAAGAAGCAGGGUCACGAUAAGCUCCAUAGCGCCGAUGACAGACAAGAGGCACGCGUUCGGGAUCGCGUUUCCCACUCCGGAGAGGCAAACCCCAGGUGCUCCUAUCUCCAAAGCUCUACGAGGCCCCAAAGAAGUAUCCCGCACAUAGGCAAACUCCUCCAACGGAAGCCAACCUUACACUCUUUGAAAGAGUUAUCCACAUCAAAAUCAACAGGGCCCACCGAGGCACCCAAGGAUUACCUUUAUCUGGGGUAUCGUUCUCGAAGGCCCCGGAAUUUGAUACAAGAUCCCCAAACAAUCCUGCAGGCCCCGACAACUCAAGCUUAUCCGAUCGGUCCUCCAUCAGUCCAAAGUACGACAAAACAAAAAGCGAGGAAGAGCUUUGCCGAUCAGCUGGAGACCAGAACGAGCUACCAUGACGAGCUACGACGGCCCAUAAAAAAAAGAAGGCAUUCAAAAUUCCCGUAGGGCGUAAAAGUGAUAAGUUAGGAUUUUAACAUGUUUUAUGCCCCUACUUGCCUAUGCUUUGAUCAUAUAUUGUUACAAAAUAGUCCUAAAAUGCUCACAAGUUGUGUUUGAUUGCCGGUUUGAUCGACAACAUGACGAGAUGUCAAAGAUUGGCUCAAAAAAGGAGUGAAACCUGCUCAAGUAUCAAAAACCAAGAAAUCUAAGGAAAGAAGGCCCAGUGCGGACCGCGCAAAGUUGAAUGCGGCCGCACUAGGUGGUUCAAAGAGUUGGUAAAUCAUGCCAGAAGAAGCGCGACCGCGGUAAACAUCUCACGGUCCGCGGUGAAGGCUCCGCGGCCGCACUACUUGUUUGUGUGGUUCGCGAUCAUGAGAUUCAGAGAGAUGAAAGUUUUUAAAGCCAAUGGCAUGCGGUCCGCGGUCGUGAUUUUGCGGAUUGUGCCAUCUCUCUCUGCGACCAUGGUUCAUUCGACGCGUGACGUGCCAUCUCCAUCCGUGGUCAUGGUCCAUUCUACGCGGGUCGCGAAGUCCAAGUUCAAAGAAGCAAAUGUCAAAGUCAAAGAGCCCAAUGCGGCCGCGGUUCAUUUAGUCCGACCCGCACUUACCCUGCAGGGGCAUUUUUGUCCAGUUUUUCCAACCUAGUAUAAAUAGAACAUUGUACCAUUUUUUAGGUAAUUAGAUAUAUCAGACAAGGGCUGCGCUCGUGAGAACAAAUUUUGUAGCCAUUUUUGGCACUUUUGCUUUACAUUUACAAUAGAUUCUUGUAGUUUAAUUUUAGCAAUUAAUUAAUAUGCUUAGUUCUUCAUCUAUUUCUUUAUUUUCUUCUUCAAGCAUGAGUAGCUAAACCUAUCAGCUAGGGUUGUGGCUCAACCCUAGUGUGGGUAAUUGAUGGGUAUUGCCAUCUAAUGUUAAAUUGACUAUGGGUGUUUGCUAUUUGGGUUGAUUUUAUGUUUUAAUCUAGAAUUGGUGGUUGCAAACACUGAUUCAAGCUUUGUGGGUUUAACUCUUCUUGAGAAAGAGAGUCUAUGACCACAAAAUUGACCUAACAAGGAAUUAAGAUGGACUCAUGAGAAAUGAUAGUCCCAAUUAAUGAGUUAAACCUCGAGAGAGUAAUUACCCUACUUGAACCCUAGUUGCUUGGUCUAAUUUGCCUACCCAUUUGGUCCCGAGAGAGUCAAUUAGGCAAAAUCACUUUCUCUACCGAGAGGUGUGAGAAUGAGUAAAAUUGUGCAACGNNNNNNNNNNNNNNNNNNNNNNNNNGAAAACCCAAAAAAUAGUUUGAAGUGACAUUAGGAGUACAAACACAUCUCUAGGCUAGACAGACAAUCCAACUCCACUGUUAGCUCCCUAAGGAAAUCGAUCCCGACCCUCAUAUCGGGUAAAGGCUAUUGCGACCCGCUCUUUCUACCUUAGUGUAGCGUCGAAUUUGCAGCGAUCACUUUUUGGUGCCAUUUCCGGGGAGCUUACGGUGUUGACUAUCUGUUUAUUUUGUUUUGUGUUUUGCCUCUCUUUCCUUCUUAUUUACUAAUUCUGUUUGUGUCGAUUAAUCAGGUAUAAAUGGCUCUUAAUGCAAAUGACCCUCUCGACUAUGUGAUAGCGGGGGAGGAGGUAGAGGAUCUAGAACAAGAUGAGGUCUUACCUCAAGUUCCAUGGAGAGGCCGAA
This 16773-nucleotide long non-coding RNA is filed under the name Nicotiana tabacum (common tobacco). Its description in RNAcentral is "long non-coding RNA (NTAB_LNC006552)". Lineage: Eukaryota; Viridiplantae; Streptophyta; Magnoliopsida; Solanales; Solanaceae. The record is from RNAcentral.